GUAUGCUAGGAUGUGAUAGGGAAGCCCUUCGGGGCGAAGUAGCUGAUUUCACACUGUCAAGAAAAGCUUCUAUCGAGUUUAAAGGCGCCCGUACCGUAAACCGACACAGGUGGGUGAGGAGAGUAUCCUAAGGCCAGCGAGAGAACUAUUGUUAAGGAACUCGGCAAAAUGACCCCGUAACUUAGGGAGAAGGGGUGCCUGUCUAUGACAGGCCGCAGAGAAUAGGCCCAAGCGACUGUUUACCAAAAACACAGGUUUCUGCUAAGUCGCAAGACGAUGUAUAGGAGCUGACGCCUGCCCGGUGCUGGAAGGUUAAGGGGAUCUGUUAGAGCAAUCGAAGCAGUGAACUUAAGCCCCAGUAAACGGCGGCCGUAACAAUAACGGUCCUAAGGUAGCGAAAUUCCUUGUCGGGUAAGUUCCGACCCGCACGAAAGGCGUAACGAUUUGGGCACUGUCUCAACAAUAGACUCGGUGAAAUUGUAAUCCCGGUGAAGAUGCCGGGUACCUGCGACAGGACGGAAAGACCCCAUGGAGCUUUACCGUAGCUUGACGUUGGGUCUUGGUACUACAUGUACAGGAUAGGUGGGAGACUAUGAAGCAUGGACGCCAGUCUGUGUGGAGUCAUCCUUGGGAUACCACCCUUGUAGUACUGGGAUCCUAACCAUAGGCCUUGAAUCAGGUCUUGGAACACCGUCAGGUGGGCAGUUUGACUGGGGCGGUCGCCUCCUAAAAAGUAACGGAGGCGCUCAAAGGUUUCCUCAGCACGGUCGGAAAUCGUGCGAAGAGUGUAAAGGCAAAAGGAAGCUUGAUUGCAAGACAUACAGGUCGAGCAAGGACGAAAGUCGGACUUAGUGAUCCGGUGGUACCGCAUGGAAGGGCCAUCGCUCAACGGAUAAAAGCUACCCUGGAUAACAGGCUUAUCUCCCCCAAGAGUCCACAUCGACGGGGAGGUUUGGCGCCUCGAUGUCGGCUCAUCACAUCCUGGGGCUGUAGUAGGUCCCAAGGGUUGGGCUGUUCGCCCAUUAAAGUGGUACGCGAGCUGGGUUCAGAACGUCGUGAGACAGUUCGGUCCCUAUCCGUCGCAGGCGUAGGAAAUUUGAGAAGACCUGUCCUUAGUACGAGAGGACCGGGAUGGACGUACCUCUGGUGUACCAGUUGUUCUGCCAAGGGCAUGGCUGGGUAGCUAUGUACGGAAUGGAUAAGCGCUGAAAGCAUCUAAGCGCGAAGCCAACUUCAAGAUAAGAUUUCCCACCGUAAGGGUAAGACCCCAGGAAGACUACCUGGUUGAUAGGUCGAAGGUGUAAGUGCAGUAAUGUAUUUAGCUUAUCGAUACUAAUAGGUCGAGGACUUG
This 1351-nucleotide ribosomal RNA is filed under the name metagenome. RNAcentral's name for it is "bacterial LSU rRNA". It matches the Rfam family "Bacterial large subunit ribosomal RNA", at positions 1551 to 2925 of the family's 2925-position model. The record is from RNAcentral.